This 606-nucleotide ribosomal RNA is filed under the name uncultured bacterium. RNAcentral's name for it is "bacterial SSU rRNA". It matches the Rfam family "Bacterial small subunit ribosomal RNA", at positions 641 to 1226 of the family's 1533-position model. The record is from RNAcentral.
CUAGAGUUGUGGUAGAGGGAAGUGGAAUUCCCAGGGUGUAGCGGUGAAAUGCGUAGAUAUCUGGAGGAACNCCCAGUGGCGAAGGCGACUUCCCUGGACCAACACUGACGUUGAGGUGCGAAAGGCGUGGGUAGCAAACAGGAUUAGAUACCCCUGGUAGUCCCACGCCGUAAAACGAUGUCAACUAGCCCGUCGGGUUUCAUUUAGGAAUUUGGUGGCGUAGGCUAACGCGAUAAGUUGACCCGCCUGGGGAGUACGGCCGCAAGGUUAAAACUCCAAAGGAAUUGACGGGGGCCCGCACAAGGCGGUGGAGCCAUGUGGUUUAAUUCGAUGCAACGCGAAGAACCUUACCAGCCCUUGACAUCCUCGGAACUUUCUAGAGAUAGAUUGGUGCCUUCGGGAACCGAGUGACAGGUGCUGCAUGGCUGUCGUCCAGCUCGUGUCCGUGAGAUGUUGGGUUAAGUCCCGUAACGAGCGCAACCCUUGUCCCUUAGUUGCCAGCACUUCGGGUGGGAACUCUAAGGAGACUGCCGGUGACAAACCGGAGGAAGGUGGGGAUGACGUCAAGUCAUCCAUGGCCCUUAUGGGCUGGGCUACACACGUGCU